GAUGAAGAACGUAGCGAAAUGCGAUAAGUAAUGCGAAUUGCAGAAUUCCAGUGAGUCAUCGAAUCUUUGAACGCACAUUGCGCCCUCUGGUAUUCCGGGGGGCAUGCCUGUUCGAGCGUCAUUAUCACCCCUCAAGCCUCUGGUUUGGUGUUGGACCCCCGGUUGUCUCCAGCCGGCGGCCCCAAAUAUAAUGACGGCGUCCCCGUGAGACUCGACGCACUGAGCUUUUGCAAGCACGCGUCGUAGUGCUCCGGGUUGACCCGGUCGCCAUUUUUUACAUUUUAUCAAGGUUGACCUCGGAUCAGGUAGGGAUACCCGCUGAACUUAAGCAUAUCAAUAAGCGGAGGA
This 348-nucleotide unclassified non-coding RNA is filed under the name soil metagenome. RNAcentral's name for it is "partial contains 5.8S ribosomal RNA, internal transcribed spacer 2, and large subunit ribosomal RNA". The stretch from base 1 to 121 matches the Rfam family "5.8S ribosomal RNA", at positions 35 to 154 of the family's 154-position model. The record is from RNAcentral.